Molecule: non-coding RNA, 1453 nt
Organism: Phoenix dactylifera (date palm)
Lineage: Eukaryota; Viridiplantae; Streptophyta; Magnoliopsida; Arecales; Arecaceae
Source: RefSeq, a predicted model, not a curated record
CUCUUCAGGAAGCUUCGGUACUUGAGAGUCCGCGAGACCUUUGGAGCUGGGCUUGAAAAGCCCCAAACCAAGCCCAUUAUAUUUGAAUCCACGAUCUAAUCCGACGGAUCCCCCGCUCCUUAAAACCCUAUACUAGAGUGAAAAGGGGCGCCGAAGGUUUUAUUCUUCUCGUAUCUUCGCGAUUGAUUUCUUUCCAUCGCACUGGACUGCGUCCGCUCUCCUGGUAUUGGCAGUGCUAUCUUUCUUGAUGUUUUCGUGGAAUUCUAUGUGGUGAUUCUUUUUUUCCCCGGUUUUCUUGAUUGUUCGGGUGGAGGAUAUAGCAAUGGCUGCUCAAAACGGCCCAACGAGUAUUGAGAAAAAGCAGAUAAUCGGAAUGGCAGAGCAAGAGAUGGAGUUAUAGGGUAGAGCUUUUUAACAGGAAAAAAAUGUCAGUCUGAUAAAAAGUUUUAAACGCCAAGAUCUUGCCAAAGAUGAUGCACUAACUCAAUGCCCAACAACACUAGUGAAACACAAUCAAGGCCGUGCCAGAAAAAAGCAAGUUCAAUGAGUGUUGGAUACUUGGGUUAGUGAAGCUUCACCUUCGUCUCUUAACCGAUAUGUUCAUUGCCCUCUGAGUUUUCAAACAAUAUGCUGCAAAGAUUGAGAGCAACAAUAUCGAGAAAAGGUGCGCAUACUACUAGUGUAUUUAUCAAUGCAGACAUGUACGUGAAGUAUUUCUUCUCGAACAGGGUAGCAGGUUGAGAGCUGCUCACAACGGCCCACGACAAGGAAGAGACUAACUCUUUUUGGAGCCUGCAUGUUAGCGAGGAUGGUGUGUAGGUGGUCUGGACAAAGUGAGUUCAAGUAAGCGUUUGUAACAUUCCUCCUUUACGAACUGUGCAGCCUGUGCGGCGUGGGAACCACCUACGAUGGCAGUCAAUGCAGCAGAUUGUAGGUAAGUUCUCGGACUCUAUGAAUCCAGAGGAGUUAAUGCUAUGUAUGUCAUCUAACGGUGCGGUGGGUGCCUCAUCAAGGUACUUGCUUCUUCGACAAUCGCGCUAGGCGUGCUUCCCACUUGUUGCUGCUCCGACACACACGUACCAAAGCUAUCACAAGUUGCUCCACACAAGGCUUCUCCUGUGCCCCAUGAAUGUUUUAGAUGUAGGACAUUAAUUGCAUCGUCUUCUCCCCAGCACGGAACUAGAGGGCAUGGAAACAAAUCUGUUACUGGGAGUUACUGCUCAAACUGGCUCGAAGACAAGAAAAAAAUUAUUGUCUACACUGCUUGCAUGCAGCCAAUUACGGCUUCAUCAAAUGCACAUUUUGGUGCAACCAGCAGCGUGAUUGCUGCACGGCCACACUUAGUGGGGCAAUAAUUUCUCUUCAGUAUCUUGCGGUUGUACAUGUUGAUCUGUUGCUCUCAUGCAGGGCAACUCUCUUCCCAAUAAAAAAAAAACUCUUUAGCCCACAAAAA